This 396-nucleotide ribosomal RNA is filed under the name uncultured Methanosaeta sp. Its description in RNAcentral is "bacterial SSU rRNA". It matches the Rfam family "Archaeal small subunit ribosomal RNA", at positions 943 to 1338 of the family's 1478-position model. The record is from RNAcentral. Lineage: Archaea; Methanobacteriati; Methanobacteriota; Methanomicrobia; Methanotrichales; Methanotrichaceae.
CAAUAUGAAGGUCAGGCUGAAGACCUUACCCGAUUAGCUGAGAGGUGGUGCAUGGCCGUCGUCAGUUCGUACUGUGAAGCAUCCUGUUAAGUCAGGCAACGAGCGAGACCCACGUCCACAGUUGCCAGCAUACCCUCCGGGGUGAUGGGUACACUGUGGAGACCGCCGCUGCUAAAGCGGAGGAAGGAGUGGGCAACGGUAGGUCAGUAUGCCCCGAAUCUCCCGGGCUACACGCGGGCUACAAUGGUUGGUACAAUGGGCAUCUACCCCGAAAGGGGAAGGAAAUCUCUUAAAGCCAAUCGUAGUUCGGAUUGAGGGCUGCAACUCGCCCUCAUGAAGCUGGAAUCCGUAGUAAUCGCGUUUCAACAGAACGCGGUGAAUACGUCCCUGCUCCUU